Molecule: small RNA, 131 nt
Filed under: Smithella sp.
Lineage: Bacteria; Pseudomonadati; Thermodesulfobacteriota; Syntrophia; Syntrophales; Smithellaceae
Description: c-di-AMP sequence
Rfam family: c-di-AMP riboswitch aptamer (ydaO/yuaA leader)
About the family: This family represents a conserved RNA structure found upstream of the ydaO and yuaA genes in Bacillus subtilis and related genes in other bacteria. The ydaO/yuaA element is thought to act as a genetic "off" switch for the ydaO and yuaA genes in its native state. It is believed that the element may be triggered during osmotic shock leading to activation of ydaO, a predicted amino acid transporter gene, and members of the yuaA-yubG operon which code for KtrA and KtrB K+ transporters.
Source: RNAcentral
UCCAAAUAUUUGCCUAAUCCUGUUUUUCAGGAGCGGAGGACCCAAUUUCCCGGGGCGUAUCGCUUAGGCGUAGGGUAGCCUCUUCGGCCCGAGCCCUUCAGCUAACUUCGUAGGCUUCGAUGAGGAGAACU